This is a long non-coding RNA of Ictalurus punctatus (channel catfish), 1655 nucleotides long. RefSeq lists it as uncharacterized. The transcript is spliced from 3 exons. The record is from RefSeq and is a predicted model, not a curated record. Lineage: Eukaryota; Metazoa; Chordata; Actinopteri; Siluriformes; Ictaluridae.
AGUAUUUGUUGAAAUGCUUUUGUUACUGAUAAAUACAUGUACAUUUAAAUUGAUUUUGUUCUGUCUGUGAUUUUGUAGAUCUGGAUGUUCAGCUGGUCUCAGAUCAAGCAUCCUCCUCUGUACUGACUCCACUAUCCCCAGCUUCAUCCCAUUCAUCAGAUUCCACAAUUGUCCUGGAGUCCAGAAGAAAGAGGAGGAACCCAACAGGGUUAAUGGAGCAGAAUGAAGCAAGACAGAAAGUUGAUUGUGUUCUGAGUGCCAAUCCAAAGGGUGAGGAAAUCUUCAAGGAGUAUGAAAAGACCAAAACACUAACAGAUGCCACACGUAAACAGAUGGUGAACGUCCUGGUUGCAGACAUGUUAGAGCUACAUGGGUAAGAAUUGGAGGUCACUUCCCUCCCUUUAUCAUCACAACAGAUUCAUGUGGUGCAGAUAAAGAAUGCUAUUCUGUGUUGCUAUAAAAGGAGAAUUUAUCCUUUAACUUCUUGCAAACAUACACACUUGCGAAGUAAACUGAUUUAUUUUGAAAGGAUGAUUCCAUCCUCAAGUGUGAGGACCAGUUAUGCACUGGGAAUUGUGACACUUUUUCCAAACCUCCAAGAUCCUUUCUCCAAACAUGGAUAUGUAAGUUCUGUCUGAAAACCCAAACCAGUGUGUUUUUAUAUUUUCUUCCUUUUUAUAGUUUUAAAGUUAAAAUGAUCUUGUUUUAGAUGAGUGUUUAUAGGUUGCUCAGCUUUGUAUUUUCCACUUGUUUUUGUAAUUUUAUAUAGUCAUUGUGUGAACUUAUUGUGUUGAGUAAUUCAUUCUUGAAGCCAAGCACGAGAUGCCUCUGUUUGGGUCUUUUCUUAAACAGGAACACUACUAUGAUCCUUUAGGGUAAUACUGGCUUCAUUGCAUGGAGGAUCAAGACGGUUCAACAUAACACCUGUGCUGGCUCCUGGUGUCAUUCCAAGACUGUUCUUCAGGAUGGUCCAAAAACCAGACGAGAAUCUCUGUUAACCUGUCAACAGCGAUUUGGUGAGGAGUGCAGGGAGGCGAUAUCUACAAUACGAUAUUCCACUGAUGAAUCUGUGGUCAGAGAGAAGAUGAGCGACUUUCCAGUAUCGACAGAAGGUGGUCAGUAAGGAUGCAUCAUCUUCUGUCCUGGAUUUGUUCACUCGUUUCCUUGCUGUAUCUGGAUUGAUUGACCAGGAUUUCUCCAUGAUGUUUGGUGAUGAAGUGUCUCAGAAGUUCCUGGCAAAGUGGUCAACAUUCUUCAAGCCAAAAAUCAUUGCAGACUGCAAGACUCUUAAGAAUAUGGGCGAGCUGCUGUCAGGAACUGAACCUGAAUCUGAGGACUACAAUGGUCAGUAUAAACUGUUUUGUAUUUUAAAAAUGUUCCAGUCUUUAAAAAAAUAAUUAAAGAGAGAUCAUUAAAUUAUUUUGUGAUGUCUUUACGAUGGGACAGUGAUGUGUCCUCAAUCCUUUUGCAGCUGCAUCUGCUCCCUCCAACCUCAAGAGGCCAGAAAACAAACAUCCAAGAUCAGUUCAGCUCAAGCAACCAGCCAUCUUGUGAGCUGUCUUAAGGUAUGCAAAAGUUAAUAUUUAAACAUCAGAUCUUAAUUUUAGGAACUCUUGAGGUGUAGACUAUUUUGGGAUUCUGAGACCUGCAUCUCA